This 443-nucleotide ribosomal RNA is filed under the name uncultured bacterium. RNAcentral describes it as "partial 16S ribosomal RNA". It matches the Rfam family "Bacterial small subunit ribosomal RNA", at positions 338 to 795 of the family's 1533-position model. The record is from RNAcentral.
CCUACGUGUGGCAGCAGUGGGGAAUAUUGGGCAAUGGGCGCAAGCCUGACCCAGCAAAGCCGCGUGAAGGAAGAAGGCUUUCGGGUUGUAAACUUCUUUUCUCAGGGACGAAGAAAGUGACGGUACCUGAGGAAUAAGCCACCGUACACUUAGUGCCCGCAGCGGCGGUAAUACGUAGGUGGCAAGCGUUAUCCGGAUUUAUUGGGUGUAAAGGGCGUGUAGGUGGGAGCGCAAGUAUGAUGUGAAAACUCAGGGCUCAACCCUGAGCCUGCAUUUGAAACUGUGUUUCUGGAGUGCUGGAGAGGCAAUCGGAAUUCCGUGUGUAGCGGUGAAAUGCGUAGAUAUACGGAGGAACACCAGUGGCGAAGGCGGAUUGCUGGACAGUAACUGACGCUGAGGCGCGAAAGCGUGGGGAGCAAACAGGAUUAGAUACCCCAGUAGUC